CGUACACUCCUGCGGGAGGCAGCAGUGGGGAAUAUUGGACAAUGGGCGCAAGCCUGAUCCAGCCAUGCCGCGUGAGUGAUGAAGGCCCUAGGGUUGUAAAGCUCUUUCACCGGUGAAGAUAAUGACGGUAACCGGAGAAGAAGCCCCGGCUAACUUCGUGCCAGCAGCCGCGGUAAUACGAAGGGGGCUAGCGUUGUUCGGAUUUACUGGGCGUAAAGCGCACGUAGGCGGACUAUUAAGUCAGGGGUGAAAUCCCGGGGCUCAACCCCGGAACUGCCUUUGAUACUGGUAGUCUUGAGUUCGAGAGAGGUGAGUGGAAUUCCGAGUGUAGAGGUGAAAUUCGUAGAUAUUCGGAGGAACACCAGUGGCGAAGGCGGCUCACUGGCUCGAUACUGACGCUGAGGUGCGAAAGCGUGGGGGGCAAACAGGAUUAGAAACCCCGGUAGUCCCAUGAU
Molecule: ribosomal RNA, 455 nt
Filed under: uncultured organism
Description: partial 16S ribosomal RNA
Rfam family: Bacterial small subunit ribosomal RNA
Source: RNAcentral